UAGAAAAAUUGUAAGUCGUUGGCAGUUCAAGUAUGGACAACAGUUGAAGGGUGGCAAAACCCACUGGCAUCUCACCUCUUAUAGCCAAGGGGGCAGCUGCAACAUGCAGCUAUCUCUUAUAUCCUAGGGGUACCAAACCUUCAUGCAAAGCCGAUUUUCCUCUCCCGACCCAACUGUAGGGAGGGGACCCACUCAUCGAGCCGGGAAAGGAUGACCUUCCCCUG
Molecule: unclassified non-coding RNA, 224 nt
Filed under: Hevea brasiliensis (rubber tree)
Lineage: Eukaryota; Viridiplantae; Streptophyta; Magnoliopsida; Malpighiales; Euphorbiaceae
Source: RNAcentral